UAGUAAAUAAGCCAUAUUUUUUAUGCCAGGAUUCAAUGUAUAAUACAAUGGACAGUAAUAUUGCAAUAUAAUAACAACAAAUUUUUUGUUCGCAUUAAUUUUGGAUGUCAGCAUGUCCUCCUUUUAUUCAAAAUAUUGAUACGUAACAAAAUUUCAGUAGAUUUGAUACCUCAUGCUGACUUAUACAACAAAAUUAUUUGACUGCAUCGACCAAAAACUGACCUGC
This 226-nucleotide long non-coding RNA is filed under the name Mytilus galloprovincialis (Mediterranean mussel). Lineage: Eukaryota; Metazoa; Mollusca; Bivalvia; Mytilida; Mytilidae. The record is from RNAcentral.